Molecule: non-coding RNA, 21 nt
Filed under: Arabidopsis thaliana (thale cress)
Lineage: Eukaryota; Viridiplantae; Streptophyta; Magnoliopsida; Brassicales; Brassicaceae
Source: RNAcentral
UGAGGUGGUCCCAUGCCAUUU